Molecule: ribosomal RNA, 484 nt
Filed under: uncultured bacterium
Lineage: Bacteria
Description: partial 16S ribosomal RNA
Rfam family: Bacterial small subunit ribosomal RNA
Source: RNAcentral
GACGAACGCUGGCGGCGUGCUUAACACAUGCAAGUCGAACGAUGAACCCGGAGCUUGCUCCGGCGGAUUAGUGGCGAACGGGUGAGUAACACGUGAGUAACCUGCCCUUGACUCUGGGAUAACUGCUAGAAAUGGUAGCUAAUACCGGAUACGACCCUCGGUGGCAUCACCAGGGGGUGGAAAGAAUUUCGGUCAAGGAUGGACUCGCGGCCUAUCAGCUAGUUGGUGAGGUAACGGCUCACCAAGGGGACGACGGGUAGCCGGCCUGAGAGGGUGGCCGGCCACACUGGGACUGAGACACGGCCCAGACUCCUACGGGAGGCAGCAGUGGGGAAUAUUGCACAAUGGGCGCAAGCCUGAUGCAGCAACGCCGCGUGAGGGAUGACGGCCUUCGGGUUGUAAACCUCUUUUAGUAGGGAAGAAGCGAAAGUGACGGUACCUGCAGAAAAAGCACCGGCUAACUACGUGCCAGCAGCCGCGGUAA